CUUAAGUUGUCUUUUGCCAGGAGAUGUAUUGCAAGCUGUUAAAAUGUUUAUUUGAUGUUUACAAUUACAUUUGUACAUGUAUAUAUAUAACAAUGUAAAGACUACAAGUUUGUACCUAUCAAAUGGGCAUAUAAAGUAUUUAUCUGAUCAUAAUCGUUUGACAAUGAAUGUGUUUCAGUCUCUUUUUUUCUUUUAAAAGUUUGAAAAGCAGUUCAUGUCAGGUUUUUGUUCUUGUUCUUGGAACGUGAACAGAAACAAUUGCUGCCGGAAUAAUAUGUUCAUAAGGAAUGAAUAGACUUUUAAUUCAUUAAUCAGCUUAAUAUUUACAUCCCAGCUCCUUUGUUCUAACAGGAGGAUCUGAUCCGGAUCACCCCUACCAGAUCACCCCAGUUUGGUUUCUGUUAUGAUGCUUUCCUGUGUUCUGAAACAUUUUGGCGGGAA
Molecule: long non-coding RNA, 441 nt
Filed under: Mytilus galloprovincialis (Mediterranean mussel)
Lineage: Eukaryota; Metazoa; Mollusca; Bivalvia; Mytilida; Mytilidae
Source: RNAcentral